This 381-nucleotide RNase P RNA is filed under the name Azoarcus sp. Its description in RNAcentral is "RNase P RNA component class A". It matches the Rfam family "Bacterial RNase P class A". Rfam says of the family: Ribonuclease P (RNase P) is a ubiquitous endoribonuclease, found in archaea, bacteria and eukarya as well as chloroplasts and mitochondria. Its best characterised activity is the generation of mature 5'-ends of tRNAs by cleaving the 5'-leader elements of precursor-tRNAs. Cellular RNase Ps are ribonucleoproteins. Lineage: Bacteria; Pseudomonadati; Pseudomonadota; Betaproteobacteria; Rhodocyclales; Zoogloeaceae. The record is from RNAcentral.
GAAGUUCGCCAGGCAGUCGCCGCGCGUACUCGUGCUGUGCGCGCGGAGGAAAGUCCGGGCCCCAUGGAGCAGGAUGCCGGCUAACGGCCGGACGCCGCGAGGCGAUGGAAAGUGCAACAGAAAACAAACCGCCGAUGGCCCGCGCAUGCGGGAUCAGGCAAGGGUGAAAUGGCGGGGUAAAAGCCCACCGCGGGACUGGCGACAGGCCCGGCACGGCAAACCCCAUCCGGGGCAAGGCCAAAUAGGGGAGCAAUGGCGUGGCUCGCGCCGCUCCCGGGUAGGCCGCUGGAGCGGCGCGGCAACGCGCCGCCAAGAUGAAUGACUGCCCGAUGUCCCUCGCGGGACAUCCGACAGAACCCGGCUUAUCGGCGAACUUCCCGC